CCUCUUCUCUUUCCACAUUUGGUGAUAUGGGUGCAUGCCACAUCCUCCACCGGCUUGGGUAAUCGCGUCUGAACAGUUGAUGGACCCUUGUGAGGCCUAGGCUAGAGGAGUCUUCGUCUGACGCGCUGCACAUCUCAUCUUUUUGUCCGGCUGGCCACUUUUACUCUAUGAAUUUGAUUACCCUUAUAUGAGUUAUGUCUCUAGCCGCACGUUGCUGAGAAUAUAGUUUUUGGUAAGCAGCUCUUCCAUUCUCCAAAUUUCUACAACAUCUUAUCCAUUUUUUUUCACAGCUCUAGUUUAAUUCUGGUAGAUAAGAAAUAUACAUUUGAUGUAUAAAGCUUUUUCAUUAGAAAAAUAUUAAAGAGUUUAUCACAUUCAUUUCC
RNAcentral lists this long non-coding RNA (383 nucleotides) under Brassica napus (rape). RNAcentral's name for it is "long non-coding RNA (BNAP_LNC013795)". Lineage: Eukaryota; Viridiplantae; Streptophyta; Magnoliopsida; Brassicales; Brassicaceae. The record is from RNAcentral.